CAUCAUCUCUCUCUCUUUUUUUUUUAUAUAAAAAUCGUUUCUCUCUCUCUAUCUUUUAUCUAUAUUAAAGCUACUUUUAAUUCUUUUCUCUUUAAUCAAAACCGCAUGUUGCUCUCUCUCUUUCUCACAAAAAUUCUCACGCUGCAUCUCCUUCUCUCUCAAUAUUUUUCAGACAGCAUCUAUCUUUAUUAAAAGCAUCACACUCUUAAAAGCAUAACACUCCUCUCUUUUAAUAAACAAAACCGAGGCUUCACAUCAUCUCUCUCUUUUUAUUCAAUCACCACAUGCACACACACAUUGAAGUAUCUCUCUCUCUCUCUCUCACAAUAUCAAGACCGAACGUUGCUCACAUCUCUCUCUCUCGCUCAAUCCAGCCAUCUCCUCCCUCGAACUUCCGCCGCCGCGGCUCUUCUCUUCAACGGCGAGGAGCGUCGCUUUCUGUUGCUCCGGCGACUCACAGCGAGGUCGCCGCGUGGAGCUGCUGCCGCUGACUACUGCUGUUCAGCUCUGGGCCGCGACCAGCGGCGCUUGGCCUUCGGCCGCGCCGCCCCGCUCAGCCGCCUGGAACUGCUGCUGCUCGCCCGGAGUCGCGGCUGUUGCUGCUGUUCACCGAGGAGUCCGUCGACUGUUGCUGUUCGUCGAGGAGUCCGCCGCCGUCUGGAGUUGCCGCCACCGUCGCCAACUGGAGCCUUGGCAGCCGCUGCUGUCGUUCUCGGGCUCCGAUGAGGCCGUAGGAAGUUACCGUUGUUGCGGCUCGACUGCGCAGGGCCGCGUUCGAUGUCUUUCUAAAACUAAAGAAUGAUGAAAACGUUUAAGUGUGGAAUGGGUAUGAGGAUGUUAUAUGCUUUCAAUCUGUGAAGGUGUUCGGUGUGAAUAUGCACACAUUUUUGUCAAAAAUGUGCAGAAUGGAGUCAAAAAGAAUACAGACAGGCGUGGAGAGUUGGAGUCAAAAGAUGCACAGUGUAGGCGUGGAGUUGGAGAGCGUGUUGUGCAUUUAUUUCCUUCACUUAUCUUAUCUUAGACAUAUGUAUAAAUAAUUGAGGGUAACUGAUUUGAUCUGUGCGUAUCUAUGUUUAUUUGUAUUCAGACUCUCUUCUCGGUCUCAUUCAAAAGUACUCUAUGAAACUA
This is a long non-coding RNA of Salvia miltiorrhiza (redroot sage), 1128 nucleotides long. RefSeq lists it as uncharacterized. The record is from RefSeq and is a predicted model, not a curated record. The transcript has 2 exons. NCBI's taxonomy places the organism in Eukaryota, Viridiplantae, Streptophyta, Magnoliopsida, Lamiales, Lamiaceae.